AUUCAGACACCUCCAUGGGCAGCAUGUUCCCAUGCCACAUCACUCUUUCUGAGAGUAUUUUUUACCUAAUAUCCAACUUGAACGUCCCCUGGUGAUUCUUAGGGCCAUUACAUCUCAUCCUACCACUAGAUACCUUUGAGAAGAGGCCCACCUCGCUACAGCCUCCUUUCAGGCAGUUGUAGGGAGCAAUAAGACCUCCCCUAAGACAUCUUUUCAGAAUAAACAAUCCUAUCCCUCAGCUGCUCCUCAAAAAACUUGUGCUCCAGAACCUUCACAGCCUUAUUGCCCUUCUCUGAACAUGCUCCUGUGUGUUGAUGUCUAUCUUGUAGCCCAAAACUGAACACAGCACUCAAAAUGUGGCCUCACCAGAGCUGAGUUACAGGGGUGGAUGAUCAUCACCUGGUUCCUUCUGGCAACAUUAUUUCAGAUACAAACAAGGAUGCCAUUGGGUUUCUUGGCCACUUGGGCACACUGCUGACUUGUGUUUAACUGUCAGUAGCCUACAAACUUUAGAUAAGCACCCAGUCAAGUGCACAGAUUCCUGUUUUUCCUUUGAACGCUUCCAGUGUAACAAAAUUGUGUUGUGGUCUCCAAAUGAUCACAAGUUUGUAUUAAAGGUGGUAACAUUAUACUUCUGGAAAUGCAUUUUAUUGCUAUUAGUCAGCUAAGAACAACAGCCAUUUCUAUUCUUUUUCUAAAAAGCUCACCUGCAGCAGUUACACCUUCCCAUUGUGUCCAGUGCAGGAACUCAAUGAAUUCCACCAGAGCACUCAGAAUGAAAAUCAAAAAUACAUUCCUGGCUGCUAGAGACUGCGGAUUCACCUUCAGAUGUGUUUAUAGUAGAUCAAGGUAGUAGACUGGUAAUCAUGCUGCUUUACUGAGAAGGAUGGAAAAUCAUAUGUACCCAUGCCUUCCAGUGCCAUCUGCAUAUCUGACGUUCCCUUCCACUGCCUUUGCUGAAAAGGAUCCUUGUCAAUGUGAGUGCUCAGCUGAAGUGGACUGCCCAGCCUUGCAGAAUUGUUCUAGCUGGGAACAUUGUGGAAGCAACAUGUAAAAAAUACAAAACUCCUUUUGUGUGCCAUGUUUCUUUGGAUAUAGAGCUGGUCUCAUCCCACGACCUCCUUUGCCAUUCUCUUGGCUUUGUCCAUAGUCAGAUAAAACUAAUGAUAUCCUGGAGGUGCCUAUUUCUCUCCUUCACUGGAAAAUGAGAGUAACUUAAGAAUCAGAUGUAUAACUGAUCUAUGUGUUAGCUGAGAUAAAC
This 1261-nucleotide long non-coding RNA is filed under the name Phasianus colchicus (ring-necked pheasant). RNAcentral describes it as "lncRNA (ENSPCLG00000016593.1)". Lineage: Eukaryota; Metazoa; Chordata; Aves; Galliformes; Phasianidae. The record is from RNAcentral.